Non-coding RNA from Asterophora parasitica, 86 nucleotides. The record is from the annotation of a GenBank genome assembly. Lineage: Eukaryota; Fungi; Basidiomycota; Agaricomycetes; Agaricales; Lyophyllaceae.
CCGACUUUAGCUCAGUUGGGAGAGCGCGAGACUGUAAUGGCUAUCACGUGAUCUCGAUGUCGCCCGUUCGAUCCGGGCAAGUCGGA